Molecule: ribosomal RNA, 472 nt
Filed under: uncultured bacterium
Lineage: Bacteria
Description: bacterial SSU rRNA
Rfam family: Bacterial small subunit ribosomal RNA
Source: RNAcentral
UGGGGAAUAUUGGACAAUGGGCGAAAGCCUGAUCCAGCCAUGCCGCGUGUGUGAAGAAGGUCUUCGGAUUGUAAAGCACUUUAAGUUGGGAGGAAGGGCAGUUACCUAAUACGUAUCUGUUUUGACGUUACCGACAGAAUAAGCACCGGCUAACUCUGUGCCAGCAGCCGCGGUAAUACAGAGGGUGCAAGCGUUAAUCGGAAUUACUGGGCGUAAAGCGCGCGUAGGUGGUUUGUUAAGUUGGAUGUGAAAUCCCCGGGCUCAACCUGGGAACUGCAUUCAAAACUGACAAGCUAGAGUAUGGUAGAGGGUGGUGGAAUUUCCUGUGUAGCGGUGAAAUGCGUAGAUAUAGGAAGGAACACCAGUGGCGAAGGCGGCCACCUGGACUGAUACUGACACUGAGGUGCGAAAGCGUGGGGAGCAAACAGGAUUAGAUACCCCCGUAGUCCCUGAGCGGGCUGGCAAGGCGCAU